RNAcentral lists this long non-coding RNA (1240 nucleotides) under Nicotiana benthamiana. Its description in RNAcentral is "long non-coding RNA (NBEN_LNC021744)". Lineage: Eukaryota; Viridiplantae; Streptophyta; Magnoliopsida; Solanales; Solanaceae. The record is from RNAcentral.
GCAACUCUAACUAUUUUUGAUUCUUCUCUUUUUUGAAAAAAAAAAACAAAAUAAGCUUUGAAUUAAACCAGUACUAGCUAUGUGCAAUCUACGGCUAGAUGAUCCCAAAUUUGAAAAAUCCAGAAAUAGCUAAAUGCAUAUGCACACCUACUAAGAUUUAACCUUAUACCAUCAGCACAAGUUCAAGCAAACUAAACUGCUAGCCCCAGUUUUGACAUACUUUCUUAAAUAGUUUAACAGUCCGCUAUUUAACAGUCCAAAAAUUCAAUACAUUCCCAGAUUUAAACUAACCAAUCCCAAUACAGUUCAAAUUUUAGUCAGAUUAUACAAAGCCAACACAAAUUAAAGGCAAAACUACACAAGCAUGACUAUCUAAUAUCUACUUUACUAUGAUAACUUGAAUAUGCAAGUUUCAGAAUAUCAUCUCAUUUCAACUUCUCGAUUCAACAAUUACAUCAGCUGCUGUUUCGAAUGUGUACCUUGAAGGGUGAAAUAACAAGAGAGGAGAGGUCAGCAGCAGCAGAUUCACAAUCCAAACGACCCAGAAAGCAGAAUCAAUAAUCUAGAAGCGUUUAAAUCAAACAAAGCUCAUAGAUCAUCUCAAAGCAACACCAAAUUAACCACACAGACUCGAGAAUGAACACAGAACUCCUCUGAAACUUCUAGCAGACAAAACCUCAACUCAAACUAGUUUAAUCAUACCCCUAAAAUUACUUGAAAUCAACUCAAAACACCUCUGAAUACGUUAGAAUCAACUCCAGGAAGUCAUAGAUCACUUCCAAUAGUCAGAAUCACUUAGUUGCAGCUUGAUUAAACCUCAAACCACUCCAGAUGCUGCAAUACUUGAACACAGAACAGAGAAACAGAGAAAUUUGAACUGUUUCUGAUCUCUGAUAAUCAAGGUAACAGUAUUUUGUGGUUUUAUGCUAUAUUAUUUAUUUUUCUACUGGAUUUGUUAAUUUUGUUUCGUUUUCUAUAGAAGUUAAGAUCUGGAAGAAGAUCUGAAGUUCUACUAUUUGAAAUUCAAAAAUAUGGGCUCAGAUUUCUAGUCAUGGUUUUUGGAGGAAUUUUUAAGCUCCAAACUUGUUAGUGAAGGCAUGGGAAUGCCAUUUUAUAGUCAAAGUGAAGGGCAGCCCUUAAAUUUCUGUUUUCCUUUUUUAGUCCCUCUUUAUUUUCACAAUGGUCCCCUACCUAUUGACUUGUAUCUCAAAUUACACCCUCUAUUUCCUGACUUUCCAAC